RNAcentral lists this transfer RNA (72 nucleotides) under Camelus ferus (Wild Bactrian camel). It matches the Rfam family "tRNA". Rfam says of the family: Transfer RNA (tRNA) molecules are approximately 80 nucleotides in length. Their secondary structure includes four short double-helical elements and three loops (D, anti-codon, and T loops). Lineage: Eukaryota; Metazoa; Chordata; Mammalia; Artiodactyla; Camelidae. The record is from Rfam by way of RNAcentral.
GGGUGUAUAGCUCAGUGGUAGAGCACGUGCUGAGCAUGCACGAGGUCCUGGUUUCAAUCCCCAGUACCUCUG